AGCUUUCCGAAUCCAUGCUGAGAUUUCAUCAGAAACCAACUUAUUCGGGAUGGUCAGACUUCAAAGAUAAGUGAGGUU
Molecule: microRNA precursor, 78 nt
Filed under: Schistosoma curassoni
Lineage: Eukaryota; Metazoa; Platyhelminthes; Trematoda; Strigeidida; Schistosomatidae
Description: mir-3492 microRNA precursor family
Rfam family: mir-3492 microRNA precursor family
Source: Rfam by way of RNAcentral